GAUGAACGCUAGCUACAGGCUUAACACAUGCAAGUCGAGGGGCAGCAUGACCUAGCAAUAGGUUGAUGGCGACCGGCGCACGGGUGAGUAACACGUAUCCAACCUGCCGAUUAUUCCGGGAUAGCCUUUCGAAAGAAAGAUUAAUACUGGAUAGCAUAACGAGAAGGCAUCUUCUUGUUAUUAAAGAAUUUCGAUAAUCGAUGGGGAUGCGUUCCAUUAGUUUGUUGGCUGGGUAACGGCCCACCAAGACAUCGAUGGAUAGGGGUUCUGAGAGGAAGGUCCCCCACAUUGGAACUGAGACACGGUCCAAACUCCUACGGGAGGCAGCAGUGAGGAAUAUUGGUCAAUGGACGAGAGUCUGAACCAGCCAAGUAGCGUGAAGGAUGACUGCCCUAUGGGUUGUAAACUUCUUUUAGAUGGGAAUAAAGUGGGCCACGUGUGGCUUUUUGUAUGUACCAUACGAAUAAGGAUCGGCUAACUCCGUG
This 485-nucleotide ribosomal RNA is filed under the name uncultured bacterium. RNAcentral describes it as "partial 16S ribosomal RNA". It matches the Rfam family "Bacterial small subunit ribosomal RNA", at positions 28 to 507 of the family's 1533-position model. The record is from RNAcentral.